RNAcentral lists this unclassified non-coding RNA (295 nucleotides) under Hevea brasiliensis (rubber tree). The record is from RNAcentral. Lineage: Eukaryota; Viridiplantae; Streptophyta; Magnoliopsida; Malpighiales; Euphorbiaceae.
GAGAUUAGUGAAAGCUAACCGACAUGCACACCUAUUUAAAACACUAAUCUUUUGCGUGCAGUUCCUGAUUUUGGUCUCUUAGGUGUAAAGAGUUUUUUUUUUCCCUUGAAUUUUCACUAUUAUCAAUAUAUAUAAAAUUUUUAUAUAUUUUAUUUUUUUAUAUUUGUUCUUUUUUUUUUAAUUUCCUUAAUCCCAACAUGAAGAUUCUACAAAUAAGGUUUUGUUGUGCUUGGAUUCUAGUAGUCCUAUGAGGCCUAGUCCAAUUUAUGUCAAAGAUUAAAUUGUUUAGCUAUGU